Small nuclear RNA from Phyllostomus hastatus (greater spear-nosed bat), 164 nucleotides. RefSeq annotates it as U1 spliceosomal RNA. NCBI's taxonomy places the organism in Eukaryota, Metazoa, Chordata, Mammalia, Chiroptera, Phyllostomidae. The record is from RefSeq and is a predicted model, not a curated record. The transcript has a single exon.
AUACCUGCCUGGCAGGGGAGAUGCCAUGAUCACAAAGGUGGUUUUCCCAGGGCAAGGCUUAUCCAUUGCACUUUGGAUAUGCUGACCCCCGAGAGUUCCCCAAAUGUGGGUAACUAGCUUGCAUAACUUGUGCUAGUGGGUGGCUGCAUUCGCACACUCUCCUG